UUACACGGUGCACCACGGACUUCUCGGAAUCUUUCUUAAAGAAGAAAACCCCAUUGCUCGUGCUAGAUCGCCGCCGUCUAGUGUUGCAGUUUAGCCUUGUACCUCUUUCCACGGCUCCUGUGUCAGAUUGACGGCCAAAUAU
This is a small nucleolar RNA of Cornus florida, 142 nucleotides long. RefSeq annotates it as small nucleolar RNA snoR134. Lineage: Eukaryota; Viridiplantae; Streptophyta; Magnoliopsida; Cornales; Cornaceae. The transcript has a single exon. The record is from RefSeq and is a predicted model, not a curated record.